CCUACGGGUGACAGCAGUGAGGAAUAUUGGUCAAUGGGCGCUAGCCUGAACCAGCCAAGUAGCGUGAAGGAUGACUGCCCUAUGGGUUGUAAACUUCUUUUGUCAGGGAACAAAGUCGGGCACGCGUCCCCGGUUGCGUGUACCUGAAGAACAAGCAUCGGCUAACACCGUGCCAGCAGCCGCGGUAAUACGGGGGAUGCGAGCGUUAUCCGGAUUUAUUGGGUUUAAAGGGUGCGCAGGGGGUCUGUUAAGUCAGCGGGAAAAGCGCGGGGCUCAACCCCGGCCCGCCGUUGAAACUGGCAGUCUGGAGUUGGGGAGAGGUAGGCGGAAUGCGCGGUGUAGCGGUGAAAUGCAUAGAUAUCAGGCAGAACACCGAUUGCGAAGGCAGCAUGCCGG
This 396-nucleotide ribosomal RNA is filed under the name uncultured bacterium. RNAcentral describes it as "partial 16S ribosomal RNA". It matches the Rfam family "Bacterial small subunit ribosomal RNA", at positions 338 to 732 of the family's 1533-position model. The record is from RNAcentral.